AGUAUAAAUUAUGUAUAUGUUUGUUUAAUUUAUAGUAAUAUCGAGGGUUAUGUUGUCAAGGAAUUGAUUAAUUUUAUAGUUUUGCAAAAACCCAGAUCCUAGCCGUCUACUUCCAUGAGUCUAACCAGAUGUAGUCAGGUGUCUACCUUUGCUUGAUGGUAGGGACUGUUACGUAUCUGGAAAAUAAAAGAUAGUGAAGGAAUUGAUGGUUUGGGUUUCAAUCUAUCUAUUAUCCAUCCCUUGAUGGAGUCCAUCGUUGCCCAGUACUAUUUUUUUAGUUAUUACUUAAGCUACAUCUGGACACUACAUUGCUCUUUAUAUUAUACCUCUUUAUAUUAGUGAUCGUUCUAUACAUUCAAGUUGUGAAUGCCAUUCUUAUUUUAUUUAUAGUGGGACACAUGUUAAUCUUCAUUUUUUGUUAAAGGGCUAGACAUGGUGAAGUAAAUGGUAAUAACACUUAAUAACUGCAUUUGGAAAUACAUUGCUUCUAUAUCAUUUGAAUGUAGAUGCAGUUUUUUGGUGUUUAUCUGUGAAAUAUAAUAUAUGAUUUAGAUCGUUUCCCAUGAAUCUAACCAGAUGUGGUCCAGGUGUCAACCUUUGAUCUGAUGGUACAGACCGUUACAUAUCUGGAAAAUAAAAGAUAGGGAAGGAAUAUCCAUCACUUGAAGGAGUCCAUCGUUGCUCAGUACCAUGUGUUUAGUUAUUACUUG
Long non-coding RNA from Hibiscus syriacus, 710 nucleotides. RefSeq lists it as uncharacterized. Lineage: Eukaryota; Viridiplantae; Streptophyta; Magnoliopsida; Malvales; Malvaceae. The transcript has 3 exons. The record is from RefSeq and is a predicted model, not a curated record.